This 2112-nucleotide long non-coding RNA is filed under the name Capsicum annuum. RNAcentral's name for it is "long non-coding RNA (CANN_LNC016780)". The record is from RNAcentral. Lineage: Eukaryota; Viridiplantae; Streptophyta; Magnoliopsida; Solanales; Solanaceae.
UUCAUUCCUUUUCUUUUUGUCUUCUCUUUGCAAUAUUUCACCCCUCUUUUCCUUCGUGUUGUUAGGAGGAGUUAUUCUGCCAUUGCUUAAAAAAGAGGAGUGAAUUCUCACGGCCAAAGAGGCACAAGUGAAAAAGAGGUAUGCACAAGAUCUGAUUUUUAAUGAUGUCUUACAUAAGCAAAUUGGCAAGAUAAGAAACAAGUUAUGGUUAGACACGUUAUUGUUGUUUUUAUAUUCAAAAAUCCACCAUAGAUUUUGCUCUGUUUUGUAUCCAUCAUCGUCACCUUAUCUUUCUCAUACAUUUUGCUUUUUUUUCCCGAAAAUUUUAUGCAUGUCAUUUCCGUUGUAGCAAUUCAUCAAGCAAUUGAAACAAACAAUUAAUUAGAAAUUUGCUUUUCCAUGAAACUGUUGAUAUCAUGCAACAACUUACGCUUUGAAGAUAUUAUUUCGCAGCAUGGAGGAGACAUGCAACUAUGUCCAUGCUUUUAUAUUUAUUCAAAGUGGGGUUUUUCUAUGUCGCCUCUACGUUAGCUAAGUGAUUCGCCUUAUGCUAUUUACCUUAAGUCUCAAGGUGUUUACGCUCAGCUAUAUUAUGGGAAUCAUCCCAAGGGUUGGUAUAAUUUGGUGAUCAAGUUAACAAUGGAUUUUUCAUAUGGACAUUUAGAGAAAAUAACAUCAAGUUGGGUCAUUUUGUAAGAUUGGAAGAUUUGAGAUUGAAAAAAAUGGGAUAUUCAAUAAAGCCAUGUGCAUUCAAUAAAGAUUUACAGGUACUUUAUCUACAUGUAUUGCCACAAACAAAUGCUUCAUACAAUUUUGAGAUUUUUUCCUUGGUUAAUUUUUAUGUUAUUUGAAAGGGAAGUUGCAGAUACGUUGAAUUGUAGCUUUUGCAGUCCUUAUUCAAUUUUUGUUGACUGGUGUAUUUGAAAUCGUUUUGUAUGGGUAAGAAAUAGAAUCGAGUAGGGGUUGGGGGUUAGAUCAGUUUGUGAGUUUUUUGUAUAGAAUAACUGAGGUACAAACUUCAACCCCUAUUAGUAGCUUACUAUUCCUUUACCCCUCACGUAAUUAAAAAUGAUGGACCUGAACAGAGGACGAUGAGAUUACAUCAACAAUAAGAAACUAAGCCGGCUUGGGCAUUAGUAGUACUGGGAUGGGUGAUCCCGUUGCAAGUAUUAGGACACCACUUGUGGGAUUUCACUCAGUAGGUGUGUUGUUGGACCUGAAUGGAGAGGAGGUUUCAAACCCCUCUUUCUGCUCCUGGUAUCGUAUUUAUUUACUAGUAAAAGUGCAGCCUUGUAGGGGAUAAUAAACCUAUCUGACUAAUAAGAGGAAAGGGCCAAGUGGCAGAACUGACCCCUAACAAGUAGUUCUCUUUCCAUACACAUAAGGUAAUUGAAAUAAGCAGUGACAAGCUAAGUUUGGCAUAGUAUAAAAAGAAAAUUAAUUAAUAUUUUUUUUCUGGUACUGAUCAAUUAAAAAAAUUUAAAGUGUGUAUAUAUAUAUCUUCUUUGUUUUCAUUCAAGUCAUUCUUUAGGGUCAAAAUUUUUGCUCAGACAAGAAUUAUUUUUAUCAAAAUCGAAGCUUUGUAAUCACUAUUGUAUUGUUUUGUUGUAGUUUACAAGUCGUGAAUGAAUGUCGAUUGGCUUUAAGGAAUUUCUUGUGUAAAUGUUAGGUUUAAUUAUAUUAUUUGAAUAUCUCUAUUAGCUUGAUGCUUUGAAAGGAUUUUCUUGUCUUUUUAACUCUUUUGAGCUGCCCAAGGACCACUCUUCUACUUAUGAUGUAAGUUUACUCUUUAUUAUUUAAAAUUAAAUAAUUUAAUUUAUUGUGGAGAUUUUUUAUUGAAGUGUAAAAGUUUCUAACACUUUUCAAAGUUUCUUCACAAAUUUGGUUAUAUUGCAACGCAGACACAGAAGAGAAGGAGGAUCGCUGGACUUUCAAAAUUCAUCCUUUUUUUAUUUUUAUGUGUUGAUGAUUUGCUUGCUUUCAACAAAUUUUUGAGGCAAGUUCAUUAUUUGAUUCGGUUCUUUUAAGAAUCCUACAUAUAGCGGAAGCUUAAUCUUCAGGCAAGUUGAUUAAUUUGUUAGUACUUUAGCAAUGUAUAAGAGGACUAUGAGG